AUUGAACGCUGGCGGCAUGCCUUACACAUGCAAGUCGAACGGCAGCACGGGUGCUUGCACCUUGUGGCGAGUGGCGCACGGGUGAGUAAUACAUCGGAACAUGUCCUGUAGUGGGGGAUAGCCCGGCGAAAGCCGGAUUAAUACCGCCUACGAUCUACGGAUGACAGCGGGGGACCUUCGGGCCUCGCGCUAUAGGGUUGGCCGGUGGCUGAUUAGCUAGUUGGUGGGGUAAAGGCCUACCAAGGCGACGAUCAGUAGCUGAUCUGAGAGGACGACCAGCCACACUGGGACUGAGACACGGCCCAGACUCCUACGGGAGGCAGCAGUGGGGAAUUUUGGACAAUGGGCGAAAGCCUGAUCCAGCAAUGCCGCGUGUGUGAAGAAGGCCUUCGGGUUGUAAAGCACUUUUGUCAGGAAAGAAAUCCUUGGCCCUAAUACGGUCGGGGGAUGACGGUACCGGAAGAAUAAGCACCGGCUAACUACGUG
This 486-nucleotide ribosomal RNA is filed under the name uncultured bacterium. RNAcentral's name for it is "partial 16S ribosomal RNA". It matches the Rfam family "Bacterial small subunit ribosomal RNA", at positions 30 to 507 of the family's 1533-position model. The record is from RNAcentral.